Molecule: ribosomal RNA, 723 nt
Filed under: gamma proteobacterium IMCC14540
Lineage: Bacteria; Pseudomonadati; Pseudomonadota; Gammaproteobacteria
Description: bacterial SSU rRNA
Rfam family: Bacterial small subunit ribosomal RNA
Source: RNAcentral
AUUGAACGUUGGCGGCACGCCUAAUACAUGCAAGUCGAACGAGAAAGCACUUCGGUGUGAGUACAGUGGCGGACGGGUGAGUAACGCGUAGGAAUCUACCUAGUAGUGGGGGACAACUCGAGGAAACUCGAGCUAAUACCGCAUACGCUCUAUGGAGGAAAGUGGGGGAUCUUCGGACCUCACGCUAUUAGAGGAGCCUGCGUUAGAUUAGCUAGUUGGUGAGGUAAAGGCUCACCAAGGCUACGAUCUAUAGCUGGUCUGAGAGGACGAUCAGCCACACUGGAACUGAGACACGGUCCAGACUCCUACGGGAGGCAGCAGUAGGGAAUCUUGGGCAAUGGGCGAAAGCCUGACCCAGCGAUGCCGCGUGUGCGAAGAAGGCCUUAGGGUUGUAAAGCACUUUCAGUUGCGAAGAAAAGCUACGGUUUAAUAUGCCGUGGUCUUGACGUUAACAACAGAAGAAGUACCGGCUAACUCCGUGCCAGCAGCCGCGGUAAUACGGAGGGUACGAACGUUAAUCGGAAUUACUGGGCGUAAAGCGCGCGUAGGCGGUUUGAUAAGUGGGAUGUGAAAGCCCCGGGCUCAACCUGGGAACUGCAUUCCAAACUGUCAAACUAGAGUGUGGUAGAGGGAGGUAGAAUUUCCUGUGUAGCGGUGAAAUGCGUAGAUAUAGGAAGGAAUACCGAUGGCGAAGGCAGCCUCCUGGACCAACACUGACGCUGA